Molecule: ribosomal RNA, 192 nt
Filed under: uncultured Flavobacterium sp.
Lineage: Bacteria; Pseudomonadati; Bacteroidota; Flavobacteriia; Flavobacteriales; Flavobacteriaceae
Description: partial 16S ribosomal RNA
Rfam family: Bacterial small subunit ribosomal RNA
Source: RNAcentral
ACUCCUACGGGAGGCAGCAGUGAGGAAUAUUGGACAAUGGGUGGAAGCCUGAUCCAGCCAUCCCGCGUGUAGGACGACUGCCUUAUGGGUUGUAAACUACUUUUAUCUGGGGAUAAACCUACCCACGUGUGAGUAGCUGAAGGUACCAGAAGGAUAAGCACCGGCUAACUCCGUGCCAGCAGCCGCGGUAAU